UCCAAACACAGGGGACAUAUAUGUCACUUUGCUCACAAGAGAGACUCCCACCAACCUGUUGUUCCCUUCCACUCCACUGCACCCACCAGGGCAUUUGCAUACUGUCCCCUAGGGAGGGCCUUCCCUUGUGAGUCUGAGAUAAAGCUCAUGCCUAACCUGGCCUGGACUGACCAGGACUCCUCAGUCCAACUUCUCAAAAUGAGGCUCCUUGCUCAGCUCCUGGGGCUGCUGGUGCUCUGGGUUCCUGGAUCCAGUGGAGAUAUUGUGAUGACUCAGACUCCACUGUCCCUGCCUGUCACCCCUGGAGAGACGGCCUCCAUCUCCUGCAGGGCUAGUGAGAGCAUCACAACCAGUAAAGGAAAUAUCUUUUUGCAUUGGUUGCUGCAGAAGCCAGGCCAACCUCCAAAGCUCCUGAUUUAUAAGAUUUCUAACCGGGACACUGGGGUCUCAGACAGGUUCAGUGGCAGUGGGUCAGGGACAGAUUUCACACUGACAAUCAGCAAGGUGGAGGCUGAGGAUGUGGGAGUGUAUUACUGCAUGCAAGGUUCAUAUUAUCCUCACACAGUGAUACAGCCCCGAACACAAACCUCCAUGCUUGGGGUGGCCCAGCUGCCCAACUGUGCUGUUUGUCUGGUGACAGCUCAGCAGAAUCUCUGGCUGUAG
This is a non-coding RNA of Microcebus murinus (gray mouse lemur), 663 nucleotides long. Lineage: Eukaryota; Metazoa; Chordata; Mammalia; Primates; Cheirogaleidae. The record is from the annotation of a RefSeq genome assembly.